GUGGCGGACGGGUGAGUAACGCGUGGGCAACCAACCCUGUACAGUGGGAUAACACCGGGAAACCGGUGCUAAUACCGCAUGACACCUAGACAGUGCAUACUGACUAGGUUAAAGGAUUUAGCCGGUACAGGACGGGCCCGCGUCCCAUUAGCUAGUUGGUGAGGUAACGGCUCACCAAGGCGACGAUGGGUAGCCGACCUGAGAGGGUGACCGGCCACACUGGGACUGAGACACGGCCCAGACUCCUACGGGAGGCAGCAGUGGGGAAUAUUGCGCAAUGGAGGAAACUCUGACGCAGCGACGCCGCGUGAGCGAAGAAGGCCUUCGGGUCGUAGAGCUCUGUUCUUGGGGACGAAUAAGGUGACGGUACCCAAGGAGAAAGCCCCGGCUAACUACGUGCCAGCAGCCGCGGUAAUACGUAGGGGGCGAGCGUUGUCCGGAAUUACUGGGCGUAAAGGGCGUGUAGGCGGCCGAGCAAGUCAAGUGUGAAAAGCCUCG
Molecule: ribosomal RNA, 498 nt
Filed under: uncultured bacterium
Lineage: Bacteria
Description: bacterial SSU rRNA
Rfam family: Bacterial small subunit ribosomal RNA
Source: RNAcentral